GUUAUAUGACAACCUCUCCAUAACAAUCAUCAGAAGGAUACAGCGAUGUACGAGCGAUGAAACCCGGUCAUUUUUGUAUGUUUGUUGUCAUUCUGAUAAGCUUUAAUCAAGAUGCCUUGACAACUAAAGAAAA
This is a long non-coding RNA of Saccostrea cuccullata (small rock oyster), 133 nucleotides long. RefSeq lists it as uncharacterized. The transcript has 3 exons. NCBI's taxonomy places the organism in Eukaryota, Metazoa, Mollusca, Bivalvia, Ostreida, Ostreidae. The record is from RefSeq and is a predicted model, not a curated record.